RNAcentral lists this ribosomal RNA (253 nucleotides) under uncultured microorganism. Its description in RNAcentral is "partial small subunit ribosomal RNA". It matches the Rfam family "Bacterial small subunit ribosomal RNA", at positions 524 to 776 of the family's 1533-position model. The record is from RNAcentral.
UACGGAGGAGGCAAGCAUUGUCCGGAAUUAUUGGGCGUAAAGAACACGUAGGUGGUUUUUCAAGUCAUGUGUGAAAACUUUGGGCUCAACUCAAAGAUUGCAUAUGAUACUGACUAACUAGAGUACAGUAGAGGAAAGUGGAAUUCCUGGUGUAGCGGUGAAAUGCGCAGAUAUCAGGAAGAACACCGGUGGCGAAAGCGGCUUUCUGGACUGUUACUGACGCUGAGGUGUGAAAGCUAGGGGAGCGAACAGG